GUGGCUGUAGUUCAGCUGGUUAGAACGCCGGAUUGUGAUUCCGGAGGUCGUGGGUUCGAAUCCCAUCAGCCACC
Molecule: transfer RNA, 74 nt
Filed under: Planctomycetales bacterium
Lineage: Bacteria; Pseudomonadati; Planctomycetota; Planctomycetia; Planctomycetales
Description: tRNA-His
Rfam family: tRNA
About the family: Transfer RNA (tRNA) molecules are approximately 80 nucleotides in length. Their secondary structure includes four short double-helical elements and three loops (D, anti-codon, and T loops). Further hydrogen bonds mediate the characteristic L-shaped molecular structure. tRNAs have two regions of fundamental functional importance: the anti-codon, which is responsible for specific mRNA codon recognition, and the 3' end, to which the tRNAs corresponding amino acid is attached (by aminoacyl-tRNA synthetases). tRNAs cope with the degeneracy of the genetic code in two manners: having more than one tRNA (with a specific anti-codon) for a particular amino acid; and 'wobble' base-pairing, i.e. permitting non-standard base-pairing at the 3rd anti-codon position.
Source: RNAcentral